GACGAACCGUGCGAACGUUAUUCGGAAUCAUUGGGCUUAAAGCGCGUGUAGGCGGAUUCGUGCGUCUGUCGCUGAAAUCCCCCGGCUCAACCGGGGAACGGGCGUGGAUACGACGAGUCUGGAGGGGCAUAGGGGGACCUGGAACUUCCGGUGGAGCGGUGAAAUGCGUUGAGAUCGGAAGGAACGCCCGUGGCGAAAGCGAGGUCCUGGACCAAUACUGACGCUCAUGUGCGAAAGCGUGGGGAGCAAACAGG
RNAcentral lists this ribosomal RNA (254 nucleotides) under uncultured bacterium. RNAcentral describes it as "partial 16S ribosomal RNA". It matches the Rfam family "Bacterial small subunit ribosomal RNA", at positions 524 to 776 of the family's 1533-position model. The record is from RNAcentral.